Molecule: unclassified non-coding RNA, 148 nt
Filed under: uncultured fungus
Lineage: Eukaryota; Fungi
Description: sequence contains ITS1, 5.8S rRNA gene
Source: RNAcentral
CUGAGUGAGGGCCUCCGGUCCGACCUCCAACCCUUUGUGAAUCUCGACCCUGUUGCCUCGGGGGCGACCCGGCCUUCGGGCGUCGGGGCCCCCGGUGGACCAUUCAACUCUGCAUCUUUGCGUCUGAGUCUUUAUAUGAAUUAAAUCA